This 542-nucleotide ribosomal RNA is filed under the name Lasiodiplodia theobromae. Its description in RNAcentral is "eukaryotic LSU rRNA". The stretch from base 195 to 348 matches the Rfam family "5.8S ribosomal RNA". Lineage: Eukaryota; Fungi; Ascomycota; Dothideomycetes; Botryosphaeriales; Botryosphaeriaceae. The record is from RNAcentral.
CUGGAAGUAAAAAAUCGUAACAAGGUUUCCGUAGGUGAACCUGCGGAAGGAUCAUUACCGAGUUUUCGAGCUUCGGCUCGACUCUCCCACCCUUUGUGAACGUACCUCUGUUGCUUUGGCGGCUUCGGCCGCCAAAGGACCUUCAAACUCCAGUCAGUAAACGCAGACGUCUGAUAAACAAGUUAAUAAACUAAAACUUUCAACAACGGAUCUCUUGGUUCUGGCAUCGAUGAAGAACGCAGCGAAAUGCGAUAAGUAAUGUGAAUUGCAGAAUUCAGUGAAUCAUCGAAUCUUUGAACGCACAUUGCGCCCCUUGGUAUUCCGGGGGGCAUGCCUGUUCGAGCGUCAUUACAACCCUCAAGCUCUGCUUGGAAUUGGGCACCGUCCUCACUGCGGACGCGCCUCAAAGACCUCGGCGGUGGCUGUUCAGCCCUCAAGCGUAGUAGAAUACACCUCGCUUUGGAGCGGUUGGCGUCGCCCGCCGGACGAACCUUCUGAACUUUUCUCAAGGUGACCUCGGAUCAGGUAGGGACCCCCAGCCC